This 253-nucleotide ribosomal RNA is filed under the name uncultured bacterium. RNAcentral's name for it is "partial 16S ribosomal RNA". It matches the Rfam family "Bacterial small subunit ribosomal RNA", at positions 524 to 776 of the family's 1533-position model. The record is from RNAcentral.
UACGUAGGGGGCUAGCGUUGUCCGGAAUCAUUGGGCGUAAAGAGCGUGUAGGUGGCUCGGUAAGUCCGCUGUGAAAGUCCAGGGCUCAACCCUGGAAAGCCGGUGGAAACUGUCGAGCUCGAGUCCGGAAGAGGCGAGUGGAAUUCCUGGUGUAGCGGUGAAAUGCGCAGAUAUCAGGAGGAACACCAAUGGCGAAGGCAGCUCGCUGGGACGGUACUGACACUGAGACGCGAAAGCGUGGGGAGCAAACAGG